GGCUCAGGACGAACGCUGGCGGCGUGCCUAAUACAUGCAAGUCGAACGAACUCUGGUAUUGAUUGGUGCUUGCAUCAUGAUUUACAUUUGAGUGAGUGGCGAACUGGUGAGUAACACGUGGGAAACCUGCCCAGAAGCGGGGGAUAACACCUGGAAACAGAUGCUAAUACCGCAUAACAACUUGGACCGCAUGGUCCGAGCUUGAAAGAUGGCUUCGGCUAUCACUUUUGGAUGGUCCCGCGGCGUAUUAGCUAGAUGGUGGGGUAACGGCUCACCAUGGCAAUGAUACGUAGCCGACCUGAGAGGGUAAUCGGCCACAUUGGGACUGAGACACGGCCCAAACUCCUACGGGAGGCAGCAGUAGGGAAUCUUCCACAAUGGACGAAAGUCUGAUGGAGCAACGCCGCGUGAGUGAAGAAGGGUUUCGGCUCGUAAAACUCUGUUGUUAAAGAAGAACAUAUCUGAGAGUAACUGUUCAGGUAUUGACGGUAUUUAACCAGAAAGCCACGGCUAACUACGUGCCAGCAGCCGCGGUAAUACGUAGGUGGCAAGCGUUGUCCGGAUUUAUUGGGCGUAAAGCGAGCGCAGGCGGUUUUUUAAGUCUGAUGUGAAAGCCUUCGGCUCAACCGAAGAAGUGCAUCGGAAACUGGGAAACUUGAGUGCAGAAGAGGACAGUGGAACUCCAUGUGUAGCGGUGAAAUGCGUAGAUAUAUGGAAGAACACCAGUGGCGAAGGCGGCUGUCUGGUCUGUAACUGACGCUGAGGCUCGAAAGUAUGGGUAGCAAACAGGAUUAGAUACCCUGGUAGUCCAUACCGUAAACGAUGAAUGCUAAGUGUUGGAGGGUUUCCGCCCUUCAGUGCUGCAGCUAACGCAUUAAGCAUUCCGCCUGGGGAGUACGGCCGCAAGGCUGAAACUCAAAGGAAUUGACGGGGGCCCGCACAAGCGGUGGAGCAUGUGGUUUAAUUCGAAGCUACGCGAAGAACCUUACCAGGUCUUGACAUACUAUGCAAAUCUAAGAGAUUAGACGUUCCCUUCGGGGACAUGGAUACAGGUGGUGCAUGGUUGUCGUCAGCUCGUGUCGUGAGAUGUUGGGUUAAGUCCCGCAACGAGCGCAACCCUUAUUAUCAGUUGCCAGCAUUAAGUUGGGCACUCUGGUGAGACUGCCGGUGACAAACCGGAGGAAGGUGGGGAUGACGUCAAAUCAUCAUGCCCCUUAUGACCUGGGCUACACACGUGCUACAAUGGAUGGUACAACGAGUUGCGAACUCGCGAGAGUAAGCUAAUCUCUUAAAGCCAUUCUCAGUUCGGAUUGUAGGCUGCAACUCGCCUACAUGAAGUCGGAAUCGCUAGUAAUCGCGGAUCAGCAUGCCGCGGUGAAUACGUUCCCGGGCCUUGUACACACCGCCCGUCACACCAUGAGAGUUUGUAACACCCAAAGUCGGUGGGGUAACCUUUUAGGAACCAGCCGC
This 1470-nucleotide ribosomal RNA is filed under the name Lactiplantibacillus plantarum. RNAcentral's name for it is "partial 16S ribosomal RNA". It matches the Rfam family "Bacterial small subunit ribosomal RNA". The record is from RNAcentral. Lineage: Bacteria; Bacillati; Bacillota; Bacilli; Lactobacillales; Lactobacillaceae.